RNAcentral lists this ribosomal RNA (301 nucleotides) under uncultured bacterium. Its description in RNAcentral is "partial 16S ribosomal RNA". It matches the Rfam family "Bacterial small subunit ribosomal RNA", at positions 509 to 807 of the family's 1533-position model. The record is from RNAcentral.
CAGUCGCCGCGGGAAUACGUAGGGUGCAAGCGUUAAUCGGAAUUACUGGGCGUAAAGCGUGCGCAGGCGGUCCGCUAAGACAGAUGUGAAAUCCCCGGGCUUAACCUGGGAACUGCAUUUGUGACUGGCGGGCUAGAGUAUGGCAGAGGGGGGUAGAAUUCCACGUAUAGCAGUGAAAUGCGUAGAGAUGUGGAGGAAUACCGAUGGCGAAGGCAGCCCCCUGGGCCAAUACUGACGCUCAUGCACGAAAGCGUGGGGAGCAAACAGGAUUAGAUACCCCAGUAGUCCCUGUCUCUUAUAC